GAUGAACGCUGGCGGCGUGCCUAAUACAUGCAAGUCGAGCGAACGGACGAGAAGCUUGCUUCUCUGAUGUUAGCGGCGGACGGGUGAGUAACACGUGGAUAACCUACCUAUAAGACUGGGAUAACUUCGGGAAACCGGAGCUAAUACCGGAUAAUAUUUUGAACCGCAUGGUUCAAAAGUGAAAGACGGUCUUGCUGUCACUUAUAGAUGGAUCCGCGCUGCAUUAGCUAGUUGGUAAGGUAACGGCUUACCAAGGCAACGAUGCAUAGCCGACCUGAGAGGGUGAUCGGCCACACUGGAGCGGAGACAGGGUCCAGACUCCUACGGGAGGCAGCAGUAGGGAAUCUUCCGCAAUGGGCGAAAGCCUGACGGAGCAACGCCGCGUGAGUGAUGAAGGUCUUCGGAUCGUAAAACUCUGUUAUUAGGGAAGAACAUAUGUGUAAGUAACUGUGCACAUCUUGACGGUACCUAAUCAGAAAGCCACGGCUAACUACGUG
RNAcentral lists this ribosomal RNA (497 nucleotides) under uncultured bacterium. Its description in RNAcentral is "partial 16S ribosomal RNA". It matches the Rfam family "Bacterial small subunit ribosomal RNA", at positions 28 to 507 of the family's 1533-position model. The record is from RNAcentral.